CUCGUUCUAUGUUGCCAGCGAGUAAUGUCGGGGACUCAUAGGAGACUGCCGGGGUCAACUCGGAGGAAGGUGGGGAUGACGUCAAGUCAUCAUGCCCCUUACGUCUUGGGCUGCACACAUGCUACAAUGGCCGGUACAAAGGGCUGCGAUGCCGUGAGGUGGAGCGAAUCCCAAAAAGCCGGUCUCAGUUCGGAUCGGGGUCUGCAACUCGACCCCGUGAAGUCGGAGUCGCUAGUAAUCGCAGAUCAGCAAUGCUGCGGUGAAUACGUUCCCGGGCCUUGUACACACCGCCCGUCACGUCACGAAAGUCGGUAACACCCGAAGCCGGUGGCCUAACCCUUGGGAGGGAGCCGUCGAAGGUGGGACCGGCGAUUGGGACGAAGUCGUAACAAGGUAGCCGUACCGGAAGGUGCGGCUGGAUCACCUCCUUUCUAAGGAGCGUCUGGCAAGUGGUGUUUGCUGCUUGUCCAGAGGCCAGUGUCGGAUGUUCAGGCCGGCCUGGUGCUCGAUGGGUGGAACGCUGACUGGUUGGGUUGUCAUGGCUGUUCUGGUUGUCUAGUACGCCUCUGUUGUGUGGGGGUGGAACGGGGCUGGGGUGGUUGUGGGGGUCUACGUGGCACGCUGUUGGGUCCUGAGGGAGUGAGCUUCUCGGCGAUCGUGUGAGCCCUCCGGUGCUGGUGUGCCGGGGGGUUCGGUCGCGGAUCGGGUCAUCUGCGUCGUGGAACUGCCGGUGUGUGCCGGUGGGCCGCGGGGUGUGGGUGGGGCCGUCUGUAUCUUGAGAACUGCACAGUGGACGCGAGCAUCUUUGUGGUCAAGUUAUUAAGGGCAC
This 829-nucleotide small RNA is filed under the name Protofrankia sp. CeaLb3. RNAcentral's name for it is "bacterial SSU rRNA". The stretch from base 1 to 431 matches the Rfam family "Bacterial small subunit ribosomal RNA", at positions 1104 to 1533 of the family's 1533-position model. Lineage: Bacteria; Bacillati; Actinomycetota; Actinomycetes; Frankiales; Frankiaceae. The record is from RNAcentral.